GGAACAUACACAGCACAGGGGGAUAACCAUUGGAAACGAUGGCUAAUACCGCAUACGCCCUAUUGGGGAAAGAUUUAUCGGUGUUGGAUUGGCCCGCGUUAGAUUAGCUAGUUGGUGGGGUAAUGGCUCACCAAGGCGACGAUUUAUAGCUGGUUUGAGAGGAUGAUCAGCAACACUGGAACUGAGACACGGUCCAGACUCCUACGGGAGGCAGCAGUCGGGAAUAUUGUGCAAUGGGGGCAACCCUGACACAGCCAUGCCGCGUGAGUGAAGAAGGCCUUAGGGUUGUAAAGCUCUUUCAGAUGUGAGGAUGAUGACGAUAGCAUCAGAAGAAGCUCCGGCUAACUUCGUGCCAGCAGCCGCGGUAAUACGAAGGGAGCUAGCGUUGUUCG
RNAcentral lists this ribosomal RNA (392 nucleotides) under uncultured bacterium. RNAcentral's name for it is "bacterial SSU rRNA". It matches the Rfam family "Bacterial small subunit ribosomal RNA", at positions 121 to 547 of the family's 1533-position model. The record is from RNAcentral.